GGGGGAGUGGCCAAGCGGCUAAGGCAGUCGGCUGCAACCCGGCGAUCGUGGGUUCGAGUCCCGCCUCCCCCU
This 72-nucleotide transfer RNA is filed under the name Candidatus Woesearchaeota archaeon. RNAcentral's name for it is "tRNA-Cys". It matches the Rfam family "tRNA". From Rfam's summary of the family: Transfer RNA (tRNA) molecules are approximately 80 nucleotides in length. The record is from RNAcentral. Lineage: Archaea; Nanobdellati; Candidatus Woesearchaeota.